UAGGGAAUCUUCCGCAAUGGACGCAAGUCUGACGGAGCAACGCCGCGUGAGUGAAGAAGGAUUUCGGUUCGUAAAACUCUGUUGUUAGAGAAGAACAGCGCAUAGAGUAACUGUUAUGCGUGUGACGGUAUCUAACCAGAAAGCCACGGCUAACUACGUGCCAGCAGCCGCGGUAAUACGUAGGUGGCAAGCGUUGUCCGGAUUUAUUGGGCGUAAAGCGAGCGCAGGCGGUCAAUUAAGCCUGAUGUGAAAGCCCCCGGCUCAACCGGGGAGGGUCAUUGGAAACUGGUUGACUUGAGUGCAGAAGAGGAGAGUGGAAUUCCAUGUGUAGCGGUGAAAUGCGUAGAUAUAUGGAGGAACACCAGUGGCGAAGGCGACUCUCUGGUCUGUAACUGACGCUGAGGCUCGAAAGCGUGGGGAGCGAACAGG
Molecule: ribosomal RNA, 429 nt
Filed under: Bacteroidota bacterium
Lineage: Bacteria; Pseudomonadati; Bacteroidota
Description: Bacteroidetes bacterium partial 16S ribosomal RNA
Rfam family: Bacterial small subunit ribosomal RNA
Source: RNAcentral